This 147-nucleotide long non-coding RNA is filed under the name Mustela putorius furo (domestic ferret). RNAcentral describes it as "lncRNA (ENSMPUG00000032053.1)". The record is from RNAcentral. Lineage: Eukaryota; Metazoa; Chordata; Mammalia; Carnivora; Mustelidae.
AGAAGCCGGCGGUAAUACAGUCAGGAUAGUAUCCACACAUGGAAACCAUCUACCCUUCCCACUGAAAACUUCAGGAUAUGAAUAUGCUGGAUAUGCCUUUUUUGAAGUCAUUUGCAUCUGUCAAGUGCCACCUAGCAGUAAGAAAAA